Molecule: long non-coding RNA, 615 nt
Filed under: Danio rerio (zebrafish)
Lineage: Eukaryota; Metazoa; Chordata; Actinopteri; Cypriniformes; Danionidae
Description: lncRNA (ENSDARG00000117404.1)
Source: RNAcentral
AUGUAGCUUUUUGUGUCUCAUAUGUGUUUUUUUUCUAUUAAUAGCCAACAUGUGUCAUGUGGAUGCAGCAUUAUGUGACAUGGAUAGUUUCCUUCUCCAAAACAACCACAAGCAAACAUAGGAAAAUGACGAAUGGCAUGUGUGGUCGUAUAGUUUGGAGAAAAUGUUGGCGCAGGACCUUCAUGCUCCAGACUGUCACAAACACCCCUGAGGACUGUUUCUCAAGGCUGCAGAUUAAAGCACGGGAGCAGUGGCCCAUUAUCUCCAGCAUGAGAGACGCCCGCAGCGCGACGGAGCAGCCCGAUCAGCUGGGCUCCAGUGGCAGGUUUGCUGGGAAAGUUAUCAAUAAGCGAUUGUCUCUAGUCAUUUAAGCUGUCACGUUAUGACAGGGCUGAAAAUUAAGCUGGCAGAUAUUAAUAAUAAUGGAAAUAACACAAUGCCGAGGGGAAGAUAUUGGGCGAGUUUGGGAAGGGGGUUACGGAUAGUGUGAGUGGGUGGAUUUAUUUGCGUGCAUGUGUGUGUGAGUGAGUGAGAGUGCAUGACUUUAUUUUGCAUUGUUAGUGUUUGAAUGCAACGCUAAUUGACAGGCUGUUUGUAAAUGUUACUGUUGUGGGG